GUUAGCGGCAGGCUUAACACAUGCAAGUCGAGCGAGAAAGGGGCUUCGGCUCCGAGUAAAGCGGCGGACGGGUGCGUAACACGUGGAUAAUCUGCCUCGUGGCGGGGGACAACAGUCCGAAAGGACUGCUAAUACCGCAUGUCAGGUCGGAAACUCCGGUUUCUGACGAAAAAGAGGGCGCCCGCAAGGGGCUCUCACCACGAGAUGAGUCCGCGUCCCAUCAGCUAGUUGGCGGUGUAAUAGACCACCAAGGCUUAGACGGGUAGCUGGUCUGAGAGGAUGACCAGCCACACUGGGACUGAGACACGGCCCAGACUCCUACGGGAGGCAGCAGUGGGGAAUAUUGGACAAUGGGCGAAAGCCUGAUCCAGCCAUGCCGCGUGAGUGAUGAAGGCCUCGGUCGUAAGACUCUGUGGGG
This 418-nucleotide ribosomal RNA is filed under the name uncultured bacterium. RNAcentral's name for it is "bacterial SSU rRNA". It matches the Rfam family "Bacterial small subunit ribosomal RNA", at positions 35 to 440 of the family's 1533-position model. The record is from RNAcentral.